AGGCAAUCUCAGAGCUGGACACCCUGAGUGAGGAAUCCUACAAGGACAGCACUCUGAUCAUGCAGCUUCUGCGUGAUAACUUGACCCUGUGGACUUCAGACAUCACGGUAUCUCCAUCCUAGCAUAUUUCCACUUAAGUCCUUUUUAUUUUCUGGAGUCAUCGUGUAUAUAUAUUCAAAUUCCAUUUGCUUGGCUCUAGGAGGAUGCUGCCGAUGACAUCAAGGAGGCUCCCAAGGGCGAGUCUGGAGAUGGGCAGUAAAGAUGAUCCAUGUGCCCAGAAACUACAUUUCAGUGUUCGUCUACUAGUGAAUCUGCCAAUGUGCUAUGGGUUCUUGUUUCGUUGGUAUAGGCUGUAUUGUUGCUUGUGAUAGCUGGAAAUUGGAGACUCCCAUUUGUGUCGUGCUUGAAAGGCUUGCGAGUAGCUUGCUGGUUGGCAGGUGUUGUCAAGCUACACUUGGUUGAGGGAGGGAACCUUUAUUUAUUUGGAUUAUUGGUGUU
RNAcentral lists this long non-coding RNA (498 nucleotides) under Setaria viridis. RNAcentral's name for it is "long non-coding RNA (SVIR_LNC000955)". The record is from RNAcentral. Lineage: Eukaryota; Viridiplantae; Streptophyta; Magnoliopsida; Poales; Poaceae.